AACGAACGCUGGCGGCAUGCCUAACACAUGCAAGUCGAACGAGACCUUCGGGUCUAGUGGCGCACGGGUGCGCAACGCGUGGGAAUCUACCCUUGGGUUCGGAAUAACAGUUAGAAAUGACUGCUAAUACCGGAUGAUGACGUAAGUCCAAAGAUUUAUCGCCUAAGGAUGAGCCCGCGUAAGAUUAGCUUGUUGGUGGGGUAAUGGCCUACCAAGGCGACGAUCUUUAGCUGGUCUGAGAGGAUGAUCAGCCACACUGGGACUGAGACACGGCCCAGACUCCUACGGGAGGCAGCAGUGGGGAAUAUUGGACAAUGGGCGAAAGCCUGAUCCAGCAUGCCGCGUGAGUGAUGAAGGCCUUAGGGUUGUAAAGCUCUUUUACCAGGGAUGAUAAUGACAGUACCUGGAGAAUAAGCUCCGGCUAACUCCGUGCCAGCCGCCGCGGUAA
Molecule: ribosomal RNA, 448 nt
Filed under: uncultured bacterium
Lineage: Bacteria
Description: partial 16S ribosomal RNA
Rfam family: Bacterial small subunit ribosomal RNA
Source: RNAcentral